RNAcentral lists this ribosomal RNA (257 nucleotides) under uncultured archaeon. RNAcentral describes it as "partial 16S ribosomal RNA". It matches the Rfam family "Archaeal small subunit ribosomal RNA", at positions 748 to 998 of the family's 1478-position model. The record is from RNAcentral.
CAGCCGUAAACAAUGUGCGUUAGGUGUGUCGGUAACCACGUGUUACUGAUGCGCCGAAGAGAAAUCGUGAAACGCACCACCUGGGAAGUACGGUCGCAAGGCUGAAACUUAAAGGAAUUGGCGGGGGAGCACCACAACAGGUGGAGCCUGCGGUUUAAUUGGAUUCAACGCCGGACAUCUCACCGGAUAAGACUUUUUUAGCUGAAUGAUUGUCAAUCUGAAGGUUUUACAUGACUAGCUGAGAGGUGGUGCAUGGC